GUAGGUGGCAAGCGUUGUCCGGAAUUAUUGGGCGUAAAGCGCGCGCAGGGCGGUUCUUUAAGUCUGAUGUGAAAGCCCACGGCUCAACCGUGGAGGGUCAUUGGAAACUGGAGAACUUGAGUACAGAAGAGGAAAGCGGAAUUCCACGUGUAGCGGUGAAAUGCGUAGAGAUGUGGAGGAACACCAGGGGCGAAGGCGGCUUUCUGGUCUGUAACUGACGCUGAGGCGCGAAAGCGUGGGGAGCAAACAGGAUUAGAUACCCUGGUAGUCCACGCCGUAAACGAUGAGUGCUAAGUGUUAGGGGGUUUCCGCCCCUUAGUGCUGCAGUUAACGCAUUAAGCACUCCGCCUGGGGAGUACGGCCGCAAGGCUG
Molecule: ribosomal RNA, 372 nt
Filed under: uncultured organism
Description: partial 16S ribosomal RNA
Rfam family: Bacterial small subunit ribosomal RNA
Source: RNAcentral